RNAcentral lists this non-coding RNA (128 nucleotides) under Nylanderia fulva. Lineage: Eukaryota; Metazoa; Arthropoda; Insecta; Hymenoptera; Formicidae. The record is from RNAcentral.
AAUAAUUCAUCGCGUUGCCGUGGAGAAAUGAAACUUAUAACCUAACCUGAAUUAUUUACAGCCGGGUGCCCACGGUCGGCUCGUCAAAUCCGAGGGUAUAAAAAUAGGCAACGCGAUGUUUCUUUUUA